Molecule: ribosomal RNA, 665 nt
Filed under: Alexandrium cf. catenella
Lineage: Eukaryota; Dinophyceae; Gonyaulacales; Pyrocystaceae
Description: LSU rRNA
Rfam family: Eukaryotic large subunit ribosomal RNA
Source: RNAcentral
UAAGUGGUGGAAAUUAAACCAACUGGGAUCUCUUCAGUAAUUGCGCAUGAACCAGGAUAUGCUUAGCUUGACAAAUGGAGCUGCUGGCUCUGAAUUGUAUUGUGGGAAUGUAUUACCAACAGAGGUGCAGGUGUCAGCCAUUUGAAAGAAAGCAUCAAUGAGGGUGAGAGUCCUGUUUGUCAUGUGCAGCCUUCUGUGCACGGUGUAUAUUUGCUGAGUCACACUCCUCGGCAUUGGAAUGCAAAGUGGGUGGUAAGUUUCAUGCAAAGGUAAAUAUGCAAUUGAGACUGAUAGCGCACAAGUACCAUGAGGGACAUAUGAAAAGGACUUUGAACAGAGAAUUAAAUGAGUUUGUAUUUGCUAAACACAAAGUAAACAGACUUGAUUUCCUCAGUGAGAUUGUAGUGCUUGCUUAACAAUGGGUUUUGGCUGCAAGUGCGAUAAUUCUUGCUUUGUGUGCCAGUUUUUAUGUGGACAUUUGAUUACCUUUGCACAUGAAUGGUAAUUUUCCUGCGGGGUGUGGAUUGCAUAUGCAUGUAAUGAUUUGCAUGUUUGUUAAAUGUGUCUGGUGUAUUUGUUUGUGUCCUUGUCCUUGAGGUUGCUUUCUCCCUUGGGCUUACAUGCCCUGGCACACACAUUCUGGCAAAAUGCUUCUGCUUGACCCG